RNAcentral lists this ribosomal RNA (260 nucleotides) under uncultured bacterium. Its description in RNAcentral is "partial 16S ribosomal RNA". It matches the Rfam family "Bacterial small subunit ribosomal RNA", at positions 1242 to 1500 of the family's 1533-position model. The record is from RNAcentral.
AAGGGAAGCGAGCCUGCGAGGGUAAGCGAAUCCCAAAAAUAACGUCCCAGUUCGGAUUGCAGUCUGCAACUCGAGUGCAUGAAGCUGGAAUCGCUAGUAAUCGCGGAUCAGCAUGCCGCGGUGAAUACGUUCCCGGGCCUUGUACACACCGCCCGUCACACCAUGGGAGUUUGUAACGCCCAAAGUCGGUGGCCUAACCUUUAUGGAGGGAGCCGCCUAAGGCGGGACAGAUGACUGGGGUGAAGUCGUAACAAGGUACC